CCUACGGGGCGCAACAGCGAGGAAUAUUGGUCAAUGGUCGGGAGACUGAACCAGCCAAGCCGCGUGAGGGAUGAAGGUACAGAGUAUCGUAAACCUCUUUUGUCAGGGAACAAAGACGGGGACGUGUCCCCGGAUGAGUGUACCUGAAGAAAAAGCAUCGGCUAACUCCGUGCCAGCAGCCGCGGUAAUACGGAGGAUGCGAGCGUUAUCCGGAUUUAUUGGGUUUAAAGGGCGCGCAGGCGGUCUGUUAAGUCAGCGGUCAAAGCCCGGGGCUCAACCACGGGCCGCAGUUGAAACUGGCGGGC
Molecule: ribosomal RNA, 305 nt
Filed under: uncultured bacterium
Lineage: Bacteria
Description: bacterial SSU rRNA
Rfam family: Bacterial small subunit ribosomal RNA
Source: RNAcentral